UGCGCAGGCGGUUAUGUAAGACAGGUGUGAAAUCCCCGGGCUUAACCUGGGAACUGCAUUUGUGACUGCAUAGCUAGAGUACGGUAGAGGGGGAUGGAAUUCCGCGUGUAGCAGUGAAAUGCGUAGAUAUGCGGAGGAACACCGAUGGCGAAGGCAAUCCCCUGGACCUGUACUGACGCUCAUGCACGAAAGCGUGGGGAGCAAACA
RNAcentral lists this ribosomal RNA (207 nucleotides) under uncultured bacterium. RNAcentral's name for it is "partial 16S ribosomal RNA". It matches the Rfam family "Bacterial small subunit ribosomal RNA", at positions 568 to 774 of the family's 1533-position model. The record is from RNAcentral.